UACGUAGGGGGCGAGCGUUGUCCGGAGUUACUGGGCGUAAAGCGCACGCAGGCGGUCUGCUAAGUUUGGAGUGACAGUUGGUGGCUUAACUGCCAAAGUGCUUCGAAAACUGACAGACUUGAGGGCUUCAGAGGGACACGGAAUUCCGGGUGGAGUGGUGAAACGCGUAGAGAUCGGAAAGAACACCAACGGCGAAAGCACUCUGCUGGGCCGACACUGACACUGAGAGACGAAAGCUAGGGGAGCGAAUGGG
RNAcentral lists this ribosomal RNA (253 nucleotides) under uncultured bacterium. RNAcentral describes it as "partial 16S ribosomal RNA". It matches the Rfam family "Bacterial small subunit ribosomal RNA", at positions 524 to 776 of the family's 1533-position model. The record is from RNAcentral.